This 70-nucleotide transfer RNA is filed under the name Heterocephalus glaber (naked mole-rat). It matches the Rfam family "tRNA". Rfam says of the family: Transfer RNA (tRNA) molecules are approximately 80 nucleotides in length. Their secondary structure includes four short double-helical elements and three loops (D, anti-codon, and T loops). Further hydrogen bonds mediate the characteristic L-shaped molecular structure. tRNAs have two regions of fundamental functional importance: the anti-codon, which is responsible for specific mRNA codon recognition, and the 3' end, to which the tRNAs corresponding amino acid is attached (by aminoacyl-tRNA synthetases). tRNAs cope with the degeneracy of the genetic code in two manners: having more than one tRNA (with a specific anti-codon) for a particular amino acid; and 'wobble' base-pairing, i.e. permitting non-standard base-pairing at the 3rd anti-codon position. The record is from Rfam by way of RNAcentral. Lineage: Eukaryota; Metazoa; Chordata; Mammalia; Rodentia; Bathyergidae.
GGGGGUAUAGCUCAGUGGUAGAGUAUAUGCUUAGCAUAUGAAGCCUUGGGUUCUAUCCUCAGUACCACCC